ACAGCAGCAGCCACGGGAAUACGAAGGGUGCAAGCGUUACUCGGAAUUACUGGGCGUAAAGCGUGCGUAGGUGGUUGUUUAAGUCUGCUGUGAAAGCCCUGGGCUCAACCUGGGAAUUGCAGUGGAUACUGGGCAACUAGAGUAAGGUAGAGGAUAGUGGAAUUUCCGGUGUAGCAGUGAAAUGCGUAGAGAUCGGAAGGAACAUCUGUGGCGAAGGCGACUAUCUGGGCCAUUACUGACACUGAGGCACGAAAGCGUGGGGAGCAAACAGGAUUAGAUACCCCAGUAGUCCCUGUCUCUUAUAC
Molecule: ribosomal RNA, 305 nt
Filed under: uncultured bacterium
Lineage: Bacteria
Description: partial 16S ribosomal RNA
Rfam family: Bacterial small subunit ribosomal RNA
Source: RNAcentral